UGGAAAUUACUAGAAAUCGCUUGUCGCAGUCAUUUUUAGAAUCUGGUACUUGAAUAUUAGUAAUUAAUUACUUUUUGGUUCUUUUUUUUUUUUAAUCAUGCUCUCUCUUGGUUUAGUCAAUUAUUUUCAACGAUAUGUGUGCGCAAUCUGAUAUUUUACUUCAAUCAAAGUUUUAUAUUCUUUAAGCCGUAUCUUACAGGCUUUUUUUUAACCUAUAUAUAUAAAAUGUAAGCCACACUUAAAAAAUAAGAUGUGAUCAAUUCAAAUCAUGUGUUGGUGGAAUGUUUAAUUAUCGGGCCAAAAUUAUUAGGUUCUCAAGCU
Molecule: long non-coding RNA, 321 nt
Filed under: Salvia miltiorrhiza (redroot sage)
Lineage: Eukaryota; Viridiplantae; Streptophyta; Magnoliopsida; Lamiales; Lamiaceae
Description: long non-coding RNA (SMIL_LNC012875)
Source: RNAcentral